Molecule: small nucleolar RNA, 134 nt
Organism: Bufo bufo (common toad)
Lineage: Eukaryota; Metazoa; Chordata; Amphibia; Anura; Bufonidae
Product: small nucleolar RNA SNORA22
Exons: 1
Source: RefSeq, a predicted model, not a curated record
CUGCACAAAGAACACCCAAGUGUGAUUUGUAGCACCCUUGGCAUUUAUCUUGUGCUAGAGUGAUGCUGUUCUUUUUCCUCUGCGUCUGGUGAAAACUUGAUUUGCCGGGAUGUAUUCAGAUGAACAGUACAUGC